GAUGAACGCUGGCGGCGUGCUUAACACAUGCAAGUUGAACGAAGCUCUUUGGACUGACCCCUUCGGGGAGAUUUUCUUAGAGACUUAGUGGCGAACGGGUGAGUAACACGUGAGCAACCAACCCUUGACAGUGGAAUAACAACGGGAAACCGUUGCUAAUACCGCAUGAAAUCUUGAAAUGGCAUCAUUUUAAGAUCAAAGAUUUAUCGGUCAAGGACGGGCUCGCGUCCGAUUAGGUAGUAGGUAAGGUAACGGCUUACCUAGCCUGUGAUCGGUAGCCGGACUGAGAGGUCGAACGGCCACAUUGGGACUGAGAUACGGCCCAGACUCCUACGGGAGGCAGCAGUGGGGAAUAUUGGGCAAUGGACGCAAGUCUGACCCAGCGACGCCGCGUGAAGGACGAAGGCAUUCGUGUUGUAAACUUCUUUGGAGAGGGACGAAAAUGACGGUACCUCUCGAACAAGCCACGGCUAACUACGUGCCAGCAGCCGCGGUAAUACGUAGGUGGCAAGCGUUAUCCGGAAUUACUGGGUGUAAAGGGCGCGCAGGCGGCCCUGCAAGUCGGAUGUGAAAGAUCAAGGCUCAACCUUGACAGGUCAUUCGAAACUGUAGGACUUGAGUGUCAGAGGGGAAAGUGGAAUUCCUAGUGGAGCGGUAAAAUGCGCAGAUAUUAGGAGGAACACCGGUGGCGAAGGCGACUUUCUGGCUGACAACUGACGCUGAGGCGCGAAAGCGUGGGGAGCAAACA
Molecule: ribosomal RNA, 748 nt
Filed under: uncultured Eubacteriales bacterium
Lineage: Bacteria; Bacillati; Bacillota; Clostridia; Eubacteriales
Description: bacterial SSU rRNA
Rfam family: Bacterial small subunit ribosomal RNA
Source: RNAcentral